This 387-nucleotide long non-coding RNA is filed under the name Brassica napus (rape). RNAcentral describes it as "long non-coding RNA (BNAP_LNC019784)". The record is from RNAcentral. Lineage: Eukaryota; Viridiplantae; Streptophyta; Magnoliopsida; Brassicales; Brassicaceae.
UUGAGUGGGUGGGUUCCUCCUCUUACGCUGAAGCUGCGCAGCAGUGAGGGGGAAGCCAAGAGCAUCAGGCAGAGGUGGAGGCUGGGGGUUUGAGGUGUUCGCAAAAGCGAAGUUUGCUGAGCUACAUCCAGCUAUUCCUCCCCUGGUUAAGACAUCAGCUACUUUCUUUACUGUCUUGCUUAGUGCAUUGCACUUAUCCUUCAGCUUUUCUAUCGUUCUGUCCUGAGCCUUGUUCCACCUCUGAAGGCGACCAAUGUGGUCAUGAGCAUCACGAAGAGCUCCAGGGGGAAGAACUCCAUCAUGUGGCUUGAAGUAGUAGUGCGGAGGUCCAUAGAUAUGCUCAGAAGUGUCUGCAACAGGCGAGUCAGGUCGCGUAGGAACACUCCU